GAUUGAACGCUGGCGGCAUGCUUUACACAUGCAAGUCGAACGGCAGCACGGGGGGCAACCCUGGUGGCGAGUGGCGAACGGGGUGAGUAACACAUCGGAACGUGUCCAGUUGUGGGGGAUAACCCAUCGAAAGGUGGGCUAAUACCGCAUGAGCUGGCAACAGGAAAGCGGGGGACCCGCAAGGGCCUUGUGCGAUUGGAGCGGCCGAUGUCCGAUUAGCUAGUUGGUGGGGUAAAGGCCUACCAAGGCUUCGAUCGGUAGCCGGUCUGAGAGGAUGAUCAGCCACACUGGGACUGAGACACGGCCCA
This 308-nucleotide ribosomal RNA is filed under the name uncultured bacterium. RNAcentral describes it as "bacterial SSU rRNA". It matches the Rfam family "Bacterial small subunit ribosomal RNA", at positions 27 to 333 of the family's 1533-position model. The record is from RNAcentral.